GUCUCAUGGAACAGUGGGAAUUAAAUGGUGAAAUAAAAGAAGAUUAUGUACAGGAAAUAUGUCGUUUUGGUGGAAGUCAAUUACAUCCUGUUGCGUCGUUUAUGGGUGGAUCUGCCGCACAUGAAGUCAUCAAAAUUAUCACAAAUCAGUAUGUUCCGUUUCAUGAUUAUUUCAUCUUCAACGCGAUGACAGGCUCUUCUGUAAGUCUAAAACUUUGAUCGUGUGCUUUUCAAUUCCGUUCAUUUGAACAGGAAUUCCACAAAUUCGAAAACGCCAUGUCAGUCGUAAAAGCGAAAGAUGAGUUCAAUGUUGUGUUUGUCAUGCAUUGACUAAAACUUGUAGCCUUGCAUAUGACUUAAUCAUGUGUGAACAUCUUUCGUUUGCUUUUUUUACCAAGGUCUAUGAGAAAGUUUUUGUACAAAUGAGAAAAUUAAUAGGCAUGAUGUAGAUUGUGAAAAUAAAACCGGACAGUUGAUUUUGUACUAUGCAGCAAACGUCAUUUCCUAGAAUUGAAACGGUCGUUAAAUGGCUUUUGAACUUCGUCAAGAUCUGCUUCUUGACUUUGAUAAAAAUCGCCAGUGUUUAAGAUUGUGCGCACUUGUUAUAAUGGCCGAGAUCAAAGAGCUUUUAAUGAAAUAAAGAAAUACAAAAUAAAA
Long non-coding RNA from Xenia sp. Carnegie-2017, 656 nucleotides. RefSeq lists it as uncharacterized. NCBI's taxonomy places the organism in Eukaryota, Metazoa, Cnidaria, Anthozoa, Malacalcyonacea, Xeniidae. The record is from RefSeq and is a predicted model, not a curated record. The transcript has 2 exons.